Biomphalaria glabrata is the source of this 1713-nucleotide long non-coding RNA. RefSeq lists it as uncharacterized. The transcript is spliced from 4 exons. The record is from RefSeq and is a predicted model, not a curated record. NCBI's taxonomy places the organism in Eukaryota, Metazoa, Mollusca, Gastropoda, Planorbidae.
UUUAUUUAACGUUUUAAAAAAAAUCAAUAGAUCUAAUAUAGACAGUCAUGAGAUCCACUCUAUUUUAUCUAGAUCUAGACCAUACAUGAGAUCAAUAAUUGUCAAUUUAUAUUAAUAUGAAUAUUUAUAGAUCUAGUCAUAGUCAAAUCUAGUGACUCUAGUGUCUCUAGUCCAGAAUCUAGAUUGAAGAUUCUAGAUCUAGAUCUAUCGAUCAUCUAUGAUCUAGUCUGUCUAUAGCUAUACUUACUAUUAUAGGCCUACACUUUUACAGUAUAUGAGUAUACUCAUACGAGUCAUACUGGCUAUACUAUAGUAUAGACACUAUAGUUAGUUACUUAGUAUAGUUAAUACUUUUUAAUAGUAGAUCUAUAAUCUAUCAAUUCUAUCUAAAUUAUUCUAAAUCUAGACUUCACUUUCACAUCACAUUUAUACUUAAAGUGACGAUACUACUUAUAGAUCUACCAGUUGAUAAACAUCAUCAUCAUAGAUAAUAAUCUACAUCUAUAAUCAUAGUGCCCUUUAUUUAGUCAAUAUAGUCAAGUCAAGGUAGUGGAACGUAAACUCGAAGGUUUUAUACAAUAUGUUAUUAACAAGUAGAACCAUGGCAACCAGUUCUGAUGAUGUACCAGAAUGGCUCAAAGAUCAUACUUAUACUAUUUCUACUCUCUGGGCAUCCAUUCAAUAUUUAAUUUAUGUUUGGAAAUGCAAGAAAAAGGCAUGCAUUCCUGAAAAGUCAAUGAUUGGUUGCACCUCUUAAAGAUAACUUUCUGUUAUGAGAAAAGAUGAGAUUCUUGGACUCCUGCAUAGCACCACCAGAAAGGAAAAUCCCAUCAUGUUGCAAAAUAAAAGUCUUGGACCAAUUUUAAUUUAAGAUAUAUAUAUUAUACUGUAAUCUGUAUACAUAUUUAUGUAUAUCCUGUCAUUCAGCCAACAGGUUUGGAUUUAGUAUAUCUUUAAAUCUGUUUGAUAUUGUACUUGAAAACUAUUAAUCUGAGCCCCAUUAAAACAAGAGGGAGUGCAGUAGAUGAGUGGUAAGGGAAAUUUUACUUUUUUAAAAUUAAAAUAAGAAUCUAACAAAAGUUAACAUAUAAAAUAUGGUGCAUUCUCCUUAAAACUAAAACCUGGUGCAAAGGUAAAAAUGUUGGCAAAAAAAAAAGCAACAUCAAUUAAAUAUUCUUAAUUCCCUUUGCAACAUGCAUGUUGUUCCCUCAUAAGUUUCUUGACAGAGGAAAUCUUGUUUAUAUUAGAUUUGAAUUAAGCAAAUUAAGAAAAAAAUUAUAAUCAUUAUUUCAAAUGGUUUUAUCUAAACCUUAUGAAUUAUUUUUCAGUUAUAAGUAUAUUGAAAUGAAUGGAUAAUCAUGAAAUCGUUAAAUAAUUGCUGCUAUCAUUCCAUUGACUAAAGAACCAUAAUUUUUUUUUAAAUUAAUUUCAAAAUGAUUUUUUUCAAGCAGAGUUCACAUAGAUCUUGAGUGAAAUUUUUCUUUUUUUGACUAAUGCUUCAAUUUUAUUGUAUCAUUAGUUUUUUAUUUUUAUUACCCAGAAUAUUUUAAAAAUGAGUACACUAUUUUCAUGUAAUAAUGUAACUUGGUAUUCACACAUCAAAAUACGCUAUAAUCUUUAGGCCAUAUAGAUUUGUAUAAAUAUAAAUUAACUUGCUUAAAUACAUUGUAAAUGUAUAUUGUUUGGAUAAGAAUAAAGUUUUUCUGUAGACAA